Molecule: ribosomal RNA, 576 nt
Filed under: Trichoderma sp. BESC42i
Lineage: Eukaryota; Fungi; Ascomycota; Sordariomycetes; Hypocreales; Hypocreaceae
Description: eukaryotic LSU rRNA
Rfam family: Eukaryotic large subunit ribosomal RNA
Source: RNAcentral
ACCUCGGAUCAGGUAGGAAUACCCGCUGAACUUAAGCAUAUCAAUAAGCGGAGGAAAAGAAACCAACAGGGAUUGCCCCAGUAACGGCGAGUGAAGCGGCAACAGCUCAAAUUUGAAAUCUGGCCCCUCGGGGUCCGAGUUGUAAUUUGUAGAGGAUGCUUUUGGUGAGGUGCCGCCCGAGUUCCCUGGAACGGGACGCCACAGAGGGUGAGAGCCCCGUCUGGCUGGCCACCGAGCCUCUGUAAAGCUCCUUCGACGAGUCGAGUAGUUUGGGAAUGCUGCUCAAAAUGGGAGGUAUAUGUCUUCUAAAGCUAAAUAUUGGCCAGAGACCGAUAGCGCACAAGUAGAGUGAUCGAAAGAUGAAAAGCACCUUGAAAAGAGGGUUAAAUAGUACGUGAAAUUGUUGAAAGGGAAGCGCUUGUGACCAGACUUGGGCGCGGCGGAUCAUCCGGGGUUCUCUCCGGUGCACUUCGCCGCGUCUAGGCCAGCAUCAGUUCGUCGCGGGGGAAAAAGGCUUCGGGAACGUGGCUCCUCCGGGAGUGUUAUAGCCCGUUGCAUAAUACCCUGCGGUGGACU